Molecule: long non-coding RNA, 2997 nt
Organism: Nerophis ophidion (straightnose pipefish)
Lineage: Eukaryota; Metazoa; Chordata; Actinopteri; Syngnathiformes; Syngnathidae
Exons: 3
Source: RefSeq, a predicted model, not a curated record
GAAAACUCACCUCAGUGGGACGUCGGUGACAAUGAUGACUAUGAGUAACCUUGGAGAGGACUGCAUACGUGGGCAAACCCCCCCCCCAGCCCUUGUAUUAUGUUGGAAAAAUGACAUUGAUUAUGUUGCGGGUCAUUUUGACCCAUACUGUGUAAUUGCACUCAAAACAGUCAAGAAAACAGGUUAAACCAAUAACCACUUUAUUUUACAUUGUAUAAACAUUUAGAAAAGCGACAUACAAUACAUUUUUAAUUCCAACACUAUAUUUAAGAAAUAUUUAGUCUAAUCCUCUUGUCCUCCUCUCGGGUCAAAAUGACAAUUCUUCCCUGCUUCUUUCCUCCUGCCAUGCUCUCUCCUUCUUUCUUCUCAUCCUGUUUUCCUUCUCUCUGUUCAUCCUCCUCUAUUCCCUUCUUUUCUGUCUUCCUUCCAUUCUUCAUUUCUCCCUUCUUUCCUUCCUACCUUCCUUCCUUCGUCCCUUCCUCCUUCCUUGACCAAAGAAAGCACAAGGGCUAUGUUUUUCCCUCUUCAUGAACACAUUUCUUUUUAACUUUAACUUCAUCCCAGCAAACUUCAACAUUUUCAAUGUUCUCCAAAUUUUCUUCAACAUUUUCAAUGCGCUCCACUUGAUGGACAGAUUUUUACUGUGUGCUUUCUGCAGAUGUAAUUCUUGCAUUUCACACAAGAGGUACUUGUUUUACUGCGAGGGACACACCUGGUAUCUUUUCCUUUUCUUUCCACCUGUGUCCACUGGAUGUUGGUUGGGUGAGGAUGGGUUGGGUGACCUGAGUUUGACCUUUUCAAUGACAGCUGCUGGGGAUCGAGCUGGCCUGGCUCGCGUCUGGAUCUUGGGAGUGACAAGUGUUUUGCCGAGUUCUUCCAGGAAAAGCCGACGUCUGUACAAUUUGCCGGCAUUCCAUUUCUGGUUGAUUGCAGUCCAAAAGGACAUAGGCAUUGUAAGCAUACACGUCCACAAUGUUGUAGAAAAUCACCAAAGGCCAACGGGCUGUCUUGCGCUGGCAGCUGUAUGUUGCUGUGACUUUGUCCAGAUUGUCAACUCCUCCUUUGGUAGAGUUAUAAUCCAGGAUCAUUUGUGGCUUCAUGUCUUCUCUUGUGCUCAGAGAUGCAUCUGUGUGCAUUGUACUCAUUACAAGAACAUUCUUGUUUCUCUUUGGGCAGUAUGAAACAACUUGCUUUCUCAGUGAAAGCAAAUAUUCAGGAAUGCAGAGGUUUGCCCUGCAUCUUCAGAAUUUCGGUGGGAAGUUCUGUCUUAUUUCUUCUGACUGUUCCCAACAUGGUCAGCUUUCUCUUCUGAAGUUCAUCUCCAAGGCGGUAGGAUGUAAAGAAAUUGUCACAUGUGAUGUUAUGACCUUGCAGCCCUUCACUCAUUUCCAGCACCUCACGCAUCCCCUGAUUCUUCUCAGAUGUUCCUCCAGGUAGCUUUCCAGUGUAUACUUGCAUAUUCCAUGCAUAGCUGGAUUUUGCAUCACAGGCUGCCCAUAUUUUGAUGCCAUACUUGGCGGGCUUGUUGGGCAUGUACUGUCGGAAAGGACAGCGCCCCCUGAAUGGAACAAGGUGCUCAUCUACAAUAACAUGGGGACCAGGAUUGUACAACAAAGGUACAUUUUCAACCCAUUUAUCCCACACAUAUCUGAUCGCAGCUAGUUUGUCUCUUUCACGUCGACCAGCUCUGGUGUCGCAGUUGUCAAGGCGGAUCACACGAGAUAUCAUGUGGAAUGCCUCCAGAGACAUUGUUGACGAAAGAUUGGCCUUCCAUUCUCUUCAUUCCAUAGACUUGCAGUGACUUCUUCCUCUGACCUGUGACUCCAGCUAAUAACAGAACUCCAAUUAUAAUCCUCUCUAUUGGUGGGGAUAUGAAGAGCUGAAAUGCUGAUUGAAUCUCAUCAACUCGUGUGACAGCAAAUCUUAUGCCCAUGUUUCCUCUGCGGAUGAUGAUUGCUGCAUUCCUUGGUUUUGAUCUGUUGGAGGAACAACGGCAGACUCGUCCUCUGAAUCCUCCUCAUCGUAGGAAAAUUGACAAUCUGGAUCAGCAACAACGUUGUCCUCUGUCUCUGAAAAAUCCUCUGUUUCUGAAAUCUCUUCCUCUACAUCACUAUUCCAGUUAAAAAUCUGUGAUAAAGCCUCCUCAGAUGUCAUCCUUCUGGAGCUCAUUUUUGGUGAGUCUGUCAAAGAGAUGACAUGAGAACAGUGAGAGUGUGAGAAAGUUCCCUCUCUUCACACCACCGAGACAGUCCUCGCAAAAAUUACUAAUGAUUUAUUGCUAACGAUGGAUUCUGAUGCGUCAUCUAUGUUUCUGCUCCUCAAUCUUAGCGCUGCUUUUGAUACCGUCGAUCAUAAUAUUUUAUUAGAGCGUAUCAAAACACGGAUCAAAGGACUAAGAUCGAGGAGCAGCACUAUAGAUGACGCAUCAGAAUCCAUCGUUAGCAAUAGAUCAUUAGCUAUUUUUGCGAGGGCUGUCUCCGUAGAGUGAUUUACCCUGAAACCGGAUUGAAAGGUUUCACAUAGAUUGUUAGACACUAAGUGUUCAUUUAGCUGCUCUGCAACAAUAUUUUCGAGCAUUUUUGAGAUAAAGGAAAGGUGAGACACCGGUCGGUAGUUUAUCAUGAGGUCAGGAUCAAGGUUAGGUCGUGUCUCUUUGAUGUACUUUUUCCUUUGAUGUACAAUUCUUUGUAUUUUUUGAGGAUUUUCUAAAUAAAGGGAAGGUGAGACACCGGUCGGUAUUUUACCAUGAGGUCAGGAUCGAGGUUAGGUCUUUUAGACAGAGGAUGAAUAACCGCUUUUUUGAAUGCUAGGGGAACAGUGCCAGAGGAAAGUGAUAAGUUUAUAAUAUUUAGUACUGAUGGACCUAAUAAUACAAAGAGCUCCUUGAUAAGUUUCCCAGGAAGUGGGUCAAGUAAACAUGUUUGUUUUAUUCCAUUUACACGUAACAAUUAUUCUAAUGUUAUUUCAUCAAAACGAGAGAAACUAUUUUGGAGGGCA